UACCAGCACCCCCGAGUGGUCGGGACGUUUUAUUGGGCCUAAAGCAUCCGUAGCCGGUUCUACAAGUCUUCCGUUAAAUCCAACUGCUUAACAGAUGGGCCGCGGAAGAUACUAUAGAGCUAGGAGGCGGGAGAGGCAAGCGGUACUCGAUGGGUAGGGGUAAAAAUCCGUUGAUCCAUUGAAGACCACCAGUGGCGAAGGCGGCUUUGCCAGAACGCGCUCGACGGUGAGGGGAUGAAAGCUGGGGGAGCAAACCGG
This 258-nucleotide ribosomal RNA is filed under the name uncultured bacterium. Its description in RNAcentral is "partial 16S ribosomal RNA". It matches the Rfam family "Archaeal small subunit ribosomal RNA", at positions 474 to 727 of the family's 1478-position model. The record is from RNAcentral.